This 429-nucleotide ribosomal RNA is filed under the name uncultured bacterium. RNAcentral describes it as "bacterial SSU rRNA". It matches the Rfam family "Bacterial small subunit ribosomal RNA", at positions 356 to 776 of the family's 1533-position model. The record is from RNAcentral.
GGGGAAUUUUGGACAAUGGGCGCAAGCCUGAUCCAGCAAUGCCGCGUGUGCGAAGAAGGCCUUCGGGUUGUAAAGCACUUUUGUCCGGAACGAAAAGGGCGUGGUUAAUACCCGCUGCCCGAUGACGGUACCGGAAGAAUAAGCACCGGCUAACUACGUGCCAGCAGCCUCGGUAAUACGUAGGGUGCAAGCGUUAAUCGGAAUUACUGGGCGUAAAGCGUGCGCAGGCGGUUUCGCAAGACGGAUGUGAAAUCCCCGGGCUCAACCUGGGAACGGCAUUCGUGACUGCGAGGCUAGAGUGUGUCAGAGGGAGGUGGAAUUCCGCGUGUAGCAGUGAAAUGCGUAGAGAUGCGGAGGAACACCGAUGGCGAAGGCAGCCUCCUGGGACGGCACUGACGCUCAGGCACGAAAGCGUGGGGAGCAAACAGG